This 72-nucleotide transfer RNA is filed under the name Bos taurus (domestic cattle). It matches the Rfam family "tRNA". From Rfam's summary of the family: Transfer RNA (tRNA) molecules are approximately 80 nucleotides in length. Their secondary structure includes four short double-helical elements and three loops (D, anti-codon, and T loops). Further hydrogen bonds mediate the characteristic L-shaped molecular structure. tRNAs have two regions of fundamental functional importance: the anti-codon, which is responsible for specific mRNA codon recognition, and the 3' end, to which the tRNAs corresponding amino acid is attached (by aminoacyl-tRNA synthetases). tRNAs cope with the degeneracy of the genetic code in two manners: having more than one tRNA (with a specific anti-codon) for a particular amino acid; and 'wobble' base-pairing, i.e. permitting non-standard base-pairing at the 3rd anti-codon position. RNAcentral also lists the same sequence under 3 other names. The record is from Rfam by way of RNAcentral. Lineage: Eukaryota; Metazoa; Chordata; Mammalia; Artiodactyla; Bovidae.
UCCCUGGUGGCUCAGAUGGUAAAGCAUCUGCCUACAAUGCGGGAGACCUGGGUUCGAUUCCUGGGUUGGGAA